RNAcentral lists this ribosomal RNA (1355 nucleotides) under uncultured bacterium. Its description in RNAcentral is "bacterial SSU rRNA". It matches the Rfam family "Bacterial small subunit ribosomal RNA", at positions 28 to 1381 of the family's 1533-position model. The record is from RNAcentral.
GAUGAACGCUAGCGACAGGCUUAACACAUGCAAGUCGAGGGGCAGCACGGGUAGCAAUACCGGGUGGCGACCGGCGCACGGGUGAGUAACGCGUAUGCAACUUGCCUAUCAGAGGGGGAUAACCCGGCGAAAGUCGGACUAAUACCGCAUGAAGCAGGGAUCCCGCAUGGGAAUAUUUGCUAAAGAUUCAUCGCUGAUAGAUAGGCAUGCGUUCCAUUAGGCAGUUGGCGGGGUAACGGCCCACCAAACCGACGAUGGAUAGGGGUUCUGAGAGGAAGGUCCCCCACAUUGGUACUGAGACACGGACCAAACUCCUACGGGAGGCAGCAGUGAGGAAUAUUGGUCAAUGGCCGAGAGGCUGAACCAGCCAAGUCGCGUGAGGGAUGAAGGUUCUAUGGAUCGUAAACCUCUUUUAUAAGGGAAUAAAGUGCGGGACGUGUCCCGUUUUGUAUGUACCUUAUGAAUAAGGAUCGGCUAACUCCGUGCCAGCAGCCGCGGUAAUACGGAGGAUCCGAGCGUUAUCCGGAUUUAUUGGGUUUAAAGGGUGCGUAGGCGGCCUUUUAAGUCAGCGGUGAAAGUCUGUGGCUCAACCAUAGAAUUGCCGUUGAAACUGGGGGGCUUGAGUAUGUUUGAGGCAGGCGGAAUGCGUGGUGUAGCGGUGAAAUGCAUAGAUAUCACGCAGAACCCCGAUUGCGAAGGCAGCCUGCCAAGCCAUGACUGACGCUGAUGCACGAAAGCGUGGGGAUCAAACAGGAUUAGAUACCCUGGUAGUCCACGCAGUAAACGAUGAUCACUAGCUGUUUGCGAUACACUGUAAGCGGCACAGCGAAAGCGUUAAGUGAUCCACCUGGGGAGUACGCCGGCAACGGUGAAACUCAAAGGAAUUGACGGGGGCCCGCACAAGCGGAGGAACAUGUGGUUUAAUUCGAUGAUACGCGAGGAACCUUACCCGGGUUUGAACGCAUUCGGACCGAGGUGGAAACACCUUUUCUAGCAAUAGCCGUUUGCGAGGUGCUGCAUGGUUGUCGUCAGCUCGUGCCGUGAGGUGUCGGCUUAAGUGCCAUAACGAGCGCAACCCUUGCCACUAGUUACUAACAGGUAAAGCUGAGGACUCUGGUGGGACUGCCAGCGUAAGCUGCGAGGAAGGCGGGGAUGACGUCAAAUCAGCACGGCCCUUACAUCCGGGGCGACACACGUGUUACAAUGGCGUGGACAAAGGGAAGCCACCUGGCGACAGGGAGCGAAUCCCCAAACCACGUCUCAGUUCGGAUCGGAGUCUGCAACCCGACUCCGUGAAGCUGGAUUCGCUAGUAAUCGCGCAUCAGCCAUGGCGCGGUGAAUACGUUCCCGGGCCU